UAGGGAAUAUUAGAAAUGGACGAAAGUCUGAUCUAGCAACACCGCGUGUGCGAAGAAGGCCUUCGGGUCGUAAAGCACUUUUUGGAAGGAAUAGGAAGGAAUGUACUUCCAGAAUAAGUCUCGGCUAACUACGUGCCAGCAGCCGCGGUAACACGUAGGAGGCAAACGUUAUCCGGAUUUACUGGGCGUAAGGCGCGUGUAGGUGGUACUGUAAGUAGGGCGUGAAAGCUCCUGGCUCAACUGGGGGAGGCCGUCCUAAACUACAGAACUAGAGGAUGGUAGAGGGAGGUGGAAUUCCAGGUGUAGCGGUGGAAUGCGCAGAUAUCUGGAGGAACACCGGUGGCGAAGGCGGCCUCCUGGACCAUUCCUGACACUCAGACGCGAAAGCUAGGGUAGCAAACGG
Molecule: ribosomal RNA, 403 nt
Filed under: uncultured bacterium
Lineage: Bacteria
Description: bacterial SSU rRNA
Rfam family: Bacterial small subunit ribosomal RNA
Source: RNAcentral